Molecule: small nuclear RNA, 126 nt
Filed under: Hordeum vulgare subsp. vulgare (domesticated barley)
Lineage: Eukaryota; Viridiplantae; Streptophyta; Magnoliopsida; Poales; Poaceae
Description: U2 spliceosomal RNA
Rfam family: U2 spliceosomal RNA
About the family: U2 is a small nuclear RNA (snRNA) component of the spliceosome (involved in pre-mRNA splicing). Complementary binding between U2 snRNA (in an area lying towards the 5' end but 3' to hairpin I) and the branchpoint sequence (BPS) of the intron results the bulging out of an unpaired adenosine, on the BPS, which initiates a nucleophilic attack at the intronic 5' splice site, thus starting the first of two transesterification reactions that mediate splicing.
Source: Rfam by way of RNAcentral
AUACCUUUCUCGGCUUUUGGUUAAGAUCAAGUGUAGUAUCUGUUCUUAUCAGUUUGAUAUCUGAUAUGUGAGGUAUACUCUUACAAUGAUAUCAAAUUUAUUUUUUAUGAGGAAGGGUCAACCAUA